This 1372-nucleotide ribosomal RNA is filed under the name uncultured bacterium. Its description in RNAcentral is "bacterial SSU rRNA". It matches the Rfam family "Bacterial small subunit ribosomal RNA", at positions 28 to 1381 of the family's 1533-position model. The record is from RNAcentral.
GAUGAACGCUGGCGGCGUGCCUAAUACAUGCAAGUCGAGCGAACGGACGAGAAGCUUGCUUCUCUGAUGUUAGCGGCGGACGGGUGAGUAACACGUGGAUAACCUACCUAUAAGACUGGGAUAACUUCGGGAAACCGGAGCUAAUACCGGAUAAUAUUUUGAACCGCAUGGUUCAAAAGUGAAAGACGGUCUUGCUGUCACUUAUAGAUGGAUCCGCGCUGCAUUAGCUAGUUGGUAAGAUAACGGCUUACCAAGGCAACGAUGCAUAGCCGACCUGAGAGGGUGAUCGGCCACACUGGAACUGAGACACGGUCCAGACUCCUACGGGAGGCAGCAGUAGGGAAUCUUCCGCAAUGGGCGAAAGCCUGACGGAGCAACGCCGCGUGAGUGAUGAAGGUCUUCGGAUCGUAAAACUCUGUUAUUAGGGAAGAACAUAUGUGUAAGUAACUGUGCACAUCUUGAUGGUACCUAAUCAGAAAGCCACGGCUAACUACGUGCCAGCAGCCGCGGUAAUACGUAGGUGGCAAGCGUUAUCCGGAAUUAUUGGGCGUAAAGCGCGCGUAGGCGGUUUUUUAAGUCUGAUGUGAAAGCCCACGGCUCAACCGUGGAGGGUCAUUGGAAACUGGAAAACUUGAGUGCAGAAGAGGAAAGUGGAAUUCCAUGUGUAGCGGUGAAAUGCGCAGAGAUAUGGAGGAACACCAGUGGCGAAGGCGACUUUCUGGUCUGUAACUGACGCUGAUGUGCGAAAGCGUGGGGAUCAAACAGGAUUAGAUACCCUGGUAGUCCACGCCGUAAACGAUGAGUGCUAAGUGUUAGGGGGUUUCCGCCCCUUAGUGCUGCAGCUAACGCAUUAAGCACUCCGCCUGGGGAGUACGACCGCAAGGUUGAAACUCAAAGGAAUUGACGGGGACCCGCACAAGCGGUGGAGCAUGUGGUUUAAUUCGAAGCAACGCGAAGAACCUUACCAAAUCUUGACAUCCUUUGACAACUCUAGAGAUAGAGCCUUCCCCUUCGGGGGACAAAGUGACAGGUGGUGCAUGGUUGUCGUCAGCUCGUGUCGUGAGAUGUUGGGUUAAGUCCCGCAACGAGCGCAACCCUUAAGCUUAGUUGCCAUCAUUAAGUUGGGCACUCUAAGUUGACUGCCGGUGACAAACCGGAGGAAGGUGGGGAUGACGUCAAAUCAUCAUGCCCCUUAUGAUUUGGGCUACACACGUGCUACAAUGGACAGUACAAAGGGCAGCGAAACCGCGAGGUCAAGCAAAUCCCAUAAAGUUGUUCUCAGUUCGGAUUGUAGUCUGCAACUCGACUACAUGAAGCUGGAAUCGCUAGUAAUCGUAGAUCAGCAUGCUACGGUGAAUACGUUCCCGGGUCU